UACGGAGGGUGCAAGCGUUAAUCGGAAUUACUGGGCGUAAAGCGUGCGCAGGCGGUUUUUUAAGUCAGUCGUGAAAGCCCCGCGCUCAACCUGGGAAUUGCGAUUGAGACUGCAAGGCUUGAAUCUGGCAGAGGGGGGUAGAAUUCCACGUGUAGCAGUGAAAUGCGUAGAGAUGUGGAGGAACACCGAUGGCGAAGGCAGCCCCCUGGAUCAAGACUGACGCUCAUGCACGAAAGCGUGGGGAGCAAACAGG
RNAcentral lists this ribosomal RNA (253 nucleotides) under uncultured bacterium. RNAcentral's name for it is "partial 16S ribosomal RNA". It matches the Rfam family "Bacterial small subunit ribosomal RNA", at positions 524 to 776 of the family's 1533-position model. The record is from RNAcentral.